RNAcentral lists this ribosomal RNA (246 nucleotides) under uncultured bacterium. RNAcentral describes it as "partial 16S ribosomal RNA". It matches the Rfam family "Bacterial small subunit ribosomal RNA", at positions 791 to 1035 of the family's 1533-position model. The record is from RNAcentral.
UAGUCCACGCCGUAAACGAUGAGUGUUAGAUGUCCGAGGUAAACUUGGGUGUCGGAAGCCAACGCGAUAAACACUCCGCCUGGGGAGUACGCACGCAAGUGUGAAACUCAAAGGAAUUGACGGGGACCCGCACAAGCAGCGGAGCAUGUGGUUUAAUUCGACGCAACGCGAAGAACCUUACCAAGUCUUGACAUAUUUCGGAGGGAUUUAGAGAUAAGUUCCGAGGACUUCGGUCCACUGAAAAAC